RNAcentral lists this ribosomal RNA (440 nucleotides) under uncultured bacterium. RNAcentral's name for it is "bacterial SSU rRNA". It matches the Rfam family "Bacterial small subunit ribosomal RNA", at positions 958 to 1398 of the family's 1533-position model. The record is from RNAcentral.
AACGCGAAGAACCUUACCUGGGCUCGAAAUGCACAAGAAUCCGGCAGAAACGUCGGCGCCUAGCAAUAGGCUUGUGUAUAGGUGCUGCAUGGCUGUCGUCAGCUCGUGUCGUGAGAUGUUGGGUUAAGUCCCGCAACGAGCGCAACCCUUAUCUUCAGUUGCUACCAUUUAGUUGAGCACUCUGACGAAACCGCCUCGGAUAACGGGGAGGAAGGUGGGGAUGACGUCAAGUCCUCAUGGCCUUUAUGUCCAGGGCUACACACGUGCUACAAUGGCCGGUACAAACCGCUGCAACCCCGCGAGGGUGAGCUAAUCGGAAAAAGCCGGCCUCAGUUCGGAUUGGAGUCUGCAACUCGACUCCAUGAAGCUGGAAUCGCUAGUAAUCGUGGAUCAGCAUGCCACGGUGAAUACGUUCCCGGGCCUUGUACACACCGCGCAUA